RNAcentral lists this ribosomal RNA (301 nucleotides) under uncultured bacterium. RNAcentral's name for it is "partial 16S ribosomal RNA". It matches the Rfam family "Bacterial small subunit ribosomal RNA", at positions 509 to 809 of the family's 1533-position model. The record is from RNAcentral.
CAGUCGCCGCGGGAAUACGGAGGGUGCAAGCGUUAAUCGGAAUUACUGGGCGUAAAGCGCACGCAGGCGGUCUGACAAGUCAGAUGUGAAAUCCCCGGGCUUAACCUGGGAACUGCAUUUGAAACUGUCAGGCUGGAGUCUUGUAGAGGGGGGUAGAAUUCCAGGUGUAGCGGUGAAAUGCGUAGAGAUCUGGAGGAAUACCGGUGGCGAAGGCGGCCCCCUGGACAAAGACUGACGCUCAGGUGCGAAAGCGUGGGGAGCAAACAGGAUUAGAUACCCCAGUAGUCCCUGUCUCUUAUAA